UUUUUUUGCUUUCUUUCAAACGCAACGAGCUUUCCUUUCGGCAAUCCAUACAUGUUUCAUCUCGCGCUUUCUUCCUUUUUUUUAUUUCAAAAUCCAUGUUUUCUUCUUCUUCUCGCACUACCUACACAUACUAGUUCUACACCUUUGAGCUACCAAAUUUAUGAGAUCACAUCGCCGAAAGCCCAUUGAAGAAGCACUAUGUUCUGUUUCUUACAGUAUGAAAAAUUUUUGCUAUUCAAAAAUUUUAUGUUUCUUCUCUCCAUUUCGCGCUUUCUUUUCCUUUGUGUUUCGGCUGUUUCAAAAUCCACAAAUUAUGCUUCUCCUCUAGCUAGCUCAGCUUGUCAUUUCACACGCCAAACCUAUGAGGCUUUUAAAAAAUUUCAUCUUUCUUCCAGGCCUCUUCCUCUUCCUCUUAUGAUGAGCUUUUCAAAUUUGAAUUUAAAUGGCCUCAUAAUGAGGGUUUGGAAUCGAGUUGUACCGCCCGCUUUGUUUUGAGCUCCGUUGUCAUUGACUUCUUGCCGCUCCACCUCUCACCGCUCUGAUCCCGCCGCCACAAAUCCUUCCUCAUUUCCUGUGAUUCCUCCUGCCACAAAUCUACCUCUGGCGACUCUCACAGAGCCAACAACAACAACAACGAUUAUCUCGAAGCUUCUCUCCUUCUCUCAGGCCUCAUUUGCACAAGGAUCCACUAGUCGAAGGAGAAAUGGGGCUGACAUUCACAAAGCUUUUCAGCCGACUUUUCGCGAAGAAGGAAAUGCGAAUUUUGAUGGUUGGUCUUGAUGUUGCUGGUAAGACCACUAUCCUCUACAAGCUCAAGCUUGCAGAGAUCGUUACUAUAAUUCCUACCAUUGCUUUUGGCCAUUCCAGAGAGUGACAUGAGGCAGCAGUUUAAGGGAAACUACAAUUUUGCGAUUGGUUAAAUAAUGUCUGAAAUUCAAAACCCAAUCCAUAUGGAAUUUGGUAGGAACCUUCGAGGGAAGAAUGGCCUAAUUUGUGAGAGUGUUCUUAUGGAAUUGAAGGAGUUCGUAUCAAUGUGUGGAGGGCCCAAUGAGAAACUGAGAGCUGACAGGUUGAUAAAUUGCCUCAGGCAGUAUUAAGACAACUCUCCCUAAGACCAAUAGUGCUAAAGAGUUUAUGGGGUUAAUGGGAGAGCACUCUCAAACAAGUGAUAAGUGUCUUGUUAGGACAUUAAUGAGUACAUUGAUCACCAUGAAGUUUGAUGGUUCACGUACUAUGCAUGAGCAUGUCAUUGAGAUGACAAACAUUGCAGCAAAACUUAAGACCUUGGGAAUGGUUGUGAAUGAGAACUUCCAUGUUGAGUUUAUUCUGAAAUCAUUACUGUUCGAGUAAGGCUCGUUCCAAAUGAGUUAUAACACCAUAAAAGAUAAAUGGAAUGUGCAUGAAUUACACAGUAUGUUAGUGCAGGAAGAAAUGAGGCUUAAGAAUCAAGGAAGUCACUUAGUCCAUUAUGUAAGCCACCAAGGGAAUCAAGGAGCUAGAAAAAAAUUUGUGAAGAAGCAUGAUAAAGGCAAAGGGCCAUUAAAGAUUAAUAACAACUCUAAGCAAAUCCAGAAGAAGACAUCAAAGAGAAAUAAUUGCCAUUUUUGUGGGAAAUCUGGACACUUCCAAAAGGAUUACCCAAAGCGUAAGUCUUGGUUCGAAAAGAAAGGGAUUCCUAACAAUCCAAACCAUAAGCCCAAAUGGGAAGUUUGUCUUUAUGGGGAAUGGAGUAAAAGCUCUAGCAGAAGAUGUUGGGACUUAUCAUUUAAAACUUGACAUUAUAUGCCAUUUAGAUUUACUGGAAACUCUUUAUGUACCUAGUUUAUCUAGGAAUUUAGUUUCAUUAUACAAACUUGAUGU
Long non-coding RNA from Glycine soja, 1860 nucleotides. RefSeq lists it as uncharacterized. The transcript is spliced from 6 exons. The record is from RefSeq and is a predicted model, not a curated record. Lineage: Eukaryota; Viridiplantae; Streptophyta; Magnoliopsida; Fabales; Fabaceae.